RNAcentral lists this ribosomal RNA (484 nucleotides) under uncultured bacterium. Its description in RNAcentral is "partial 16S ribosomal RNA". It matches the Rfam family "Bacterial small subunit ribosomal RNA", at positions 30 to 507 of the family's 1533-position model. The record is from RNAcentral.
AUUGAACGCUGGCGGCAUGCUUUACACAUGCAAGUCGAACGGCAGCGCGGGCUUCGGCCUGGCGGCGAGUGGCGAACGGGUGAGUAAUACAUCGGAACGUGCCCAGUAGUGGGGGAUAGCUCGGCGAAAGCCGGAUUAAUACCGCAUACGACCUGAGGGUGAAAGCGGGGGAUCUUCGGACCUCGCGCUAUUGGAGCGGCCGAUGGCAGAUUAGCUAGUUGGUGGGGUUAAGGCCUACCAAGGCGACGAUCUGUAGCUGGUCUGAGAGGACGACAAGCCACACUUGGACUGAGACACGGCCCAGACUCCUACGGGAGGCAGCAGUGGGGAAUUUUGGACAAUGGGCGAAAGCCUGAUCCAGCAAUGCCGCGUGUGUGAUGAAGGCCUUCGGGUUGUAAAGCACUUUUGGCGAGAACGAAAAGGACUGUGCCAAUACCACGGUUCGAUGACGGUACCCGCAGAAUAAGCACCGGCUAACUACGUG